GCCGCCCUCUGCCUUUCGUAACUCGGCGCGGGGUCUGGGUUUGCAGGGCUUUGAAAACGAGCCCCCGGCGCCUUGCGCCCUCUCUUCCGGCGCUCUGGCCGCAGAUUCGGGUAGCGCCGGCCACCGUGGACCAUUUUUCUUUUUUUCCUGCUUCGCGGCGUUCCAGGAUUUUCUCUUCCGGGUCGCUCUGAGGCACGGUCAGGGGUGCCAGCAUUCCUGGUUUGGCAUUGAACCCUCGGACUCUGCAAACACCUUUGAGGGGAAGCCCCCUUUUGCGCUUGCGCCGCGCCUCCCGCGGCCGGGAGCUAAGUCGGGCUGGCAGGGCCAGGUGGCACAUAAGGGGGGCUUAAAAGAAGACUUCUCCCAGAGACCAGUGCGGCUGCUGAUUAUGUUUAUCCCAACAUCACCAAAAGAGGAAGGAGACAAAGCUCUGCCUCUGGGUUUCUAUUUGGCGUCAUCCGUGUGCAGAGGCGGCUGAGAUUUCGGCAACACAACAGCCUGGCCUUGACUGCAGCUCCAUCCCCAGCUCGAAUGGAGCUCUUACCCACCCCGACCCCAGCUACAGCAUCCGGUGGAUGGGAGGGGCUGGAAUCAUGCAAACUUGUGCAAGAAAACCAUCAUACAUCACAGCGCGUGUCCUCAUCUUUCAACAAACAUGUAGUAAGUAGUUUCUCAAUAAGCACCUUUCGUUUUCUGCAUUUAUGAAGCUCUGCACAACUCUGUGUGGGUGCUGGCAAUGCAGAAAUGAAUAUGGUAAGAGUUCCUGCUCUGAAGUGGCUUGUGUGAGUGAGACGAUAGACAGGACAAAAUGGAUUCUCACCCUGUAGGAUCACAGAUGCCAGAAUACAAGUGCAUGCAGAGGCCAGCUCAGCACUGGGUAUGCUAAAUCACGCUUUCUUUUCUUUUCUUCAAUGUCAGAACAUUCUCAGCUAUUUUUUAAAGUGAAUUUCUCUUCUCAGUUGCUGCCAUGCUCUCCUUCUGGAGAGUCUAUUGAAUCUUCUCAUUCCAUCCUCCAUGCUUAUUAACUCAUUUAUUUAUCUGUCCACACUUCACCCUUUGUGAUGGCCCCAUUUGCCUCUCCAGGUACUUCUAAGCUAUCCUUGCUUUCUCUAUCCACUUACUGUGUGAAGUUAAUGGCUUUAAACUAGACCACAGGAUCUCUCCUUCUAGACACCAAACCAAUGGAAUAAACAGGAAAACCCAUAAAAACAUACUAUUUUAUCUCAGCCUCAAGCCAGAGUUUGGCCUGGAAGUGAUUAGAGAACUUUUGUGUGUGUGUGUGUGUGUGUGUGUGUGUGUUUGCUAUUUCUUGAACCACUCCUGCGGCAUAUGGAGGUUCCCAGGCUAGGGGUCUAAUUGGAGCUGUAGUCUCCCGCCUACACCAGAGCCACAUCAACUCGGGAUCCGAGCCGCAUCUGCAACCUACACCACAGCUCGCGGCAACGCUGGAUCGUUAACCCACUGAGCAAGGGCAGGGGCCGAACCCGCAACCCCAUGGUUCCUAGUCUGAUUCAUUAACCACUGCCCCAUGACGGGAACUCCCUGAUUAGAGAACUUUUGAGGGUAUGAGUGAACAGAGGAAGGAGAGUUGUUUUUGUCCUGUGCAGUGCCAGCAGCCAGUGCUUACCCAGCUUCGAAAUGGGUUCUUGUGACUUUGCCUUCAAGGAAUACAAUCUUAGUGGGGCCAAGAUUUAGUCCUAGCUUCAGCGUCCGAAACAGUGAUUCCUCAAAUAAAGCCCUGGAUUGGUCAGAGAGAAGGGACCUGUUUUGAGCCUGGUGAGAGCCUAAGAAGUCAAAUGAGUUACUCUAAUAGGAAGAUAGCAAAAAGCAGCAGCAGGAAAAGUCUGGAAUGACUUACCAAGAGCUUGUCCCCACGAAUGGCUUGAUCAACAUUUUAUUAACAGAUAAACACAUCAACCUGUUUUGCCACUGAAACUCAAGAGCUCAGAACUGUCAACUACUGUGAAAUCUUCUACAGUCAAGAAUGGGACUCUGCUUUACUCUCUGAUUUUAAGUUAAGAACCACAUGCUUGGAAGCUAAGUAUGAUCACCUCACAGCUAGGGAAAACUCAGAACUUCAUGCUCAUUUCUUCUUUGAUUCUUUUUUCUUUCUUUUUUCUUUAUUUUAUUUAUUUAUUUAUUUUUUGGUCUUUUUGCCAUUUCUAGGGCCGCUCCCGUGGCAUACAGAGGUUCCCAGGCUAGGGGUCUCGAAUUGGAGCUGUAGCCACCGGCCUAUGCCAGAGCCAUGCAACGCAGGAUCCAGAGCCACGUCUGCAACCUACACCACAGCUCAUGGCAACGCCAGAUCCUUAACCCACUGAGCAAGGCCAGGGAUCAAACCUGCAACCUUAUGGUUCCUAAUCAGAUUCAUUAACCAUUGAGCCACGACGGGAAGUCCUGAUCCUUUUUUCUUAUAUUGACUGUCCUUCUGGAAUUAUUUUCCUUUCUCUGAAGUACUCCCUUAUAAUUUCCUUUAGGACAAGAUUUUUGACAGUAGACUCUCGGUUAUUGUUUAUUUCUAAAUGAUUUUACUACUUCAUGAAGGUGGUUUUUCUGGUUAAAAAAGUUUACAUUGACAAUUACUUUAUCUUCACACCUUGAAGAUAUUAUUCCACUGCCUUCUGGAUUCUGUUUUUGAGGUGGAAAAAUCUGCUGUCAUUUUUAUUGUCAUUCCUUGUUAGGUGAUCCAUCCUUUCUUUCUGGCUGCUUUAUCAACCUUACCUUUGUAUUUGUUGUUUUUCAACUUUAUUAUAAUGUCUAGCAUGAAUUUGUUUUUCUUUUUCCUACUCGGAAUAUCUUGGACUUCCUAGAUCUGUAGAAUUCAUAUUAUCUAUUAGCUAUAAUACAUUCCAAGACAUAAUAUUUUAAAACAAUGUCUAUCCUUAUUUUUUCAAUUCUAUCUUUGUGGGAAACUGAUAAAUGCAUGAUAAACCUAUCAUGUAUGGUCCAUAUCUUGUAACCUCUCUUUUAUAUUUCUCAUCUUUCUAUGUAAUGUGGCAAUUUUUUUGCAUAUAUCUUAUGUUUCAUUGAUUGUUUUUUCAGUUAUACCUAAUCUGGUUGUGUAACUCUACCCUUUGAUGUAAAAAAAAAUCAAGUUCUCUUUAUGCUGUGAUCUGAAUGUUUGUGCCCCCCUAAAACUCAUAUAUUGAAACCCUGAGUCCAAAAGAUGAUGGUAUGAGGAGGUGAGGGCUUUGGAAGGUGCUUGAGUCAUGAGGGUGAAGCCCUCAGAAAUGGGAUUAGCACUUUAUCAAAGAAGCUCCAGAGAGAUCCCUACUCCCUUUUGCCACUGGAGGAUAUGACAAGUCUGUGAUCUGGAAAUGGGUGCUCACCCAGUCAUGCUGGAACCCUAAUUUUGAAUUUCCCGCCUCCAGAACCAUGAGCAACAAAUUUCUGCUGUUUAUAAGCCAUUCAUUCUGUGAUAUUUUGUUGUCACAGCCUUAAUGGGCUAAGGCAGCUUGUUAACUUGUUUGUUUUCAAUCUGAACAGAUAAUACAUUCACAUGAAUACAAGUUCAAAAUGUACCAAACAUUAUCCAGGGAACUCUCUUCCAUGUUCCCCUACUCCCUUCCCAGCCCGCUGCCCUCCACUGCAGUCCUCUGAAUUGUCAUUUCCAAUGACUGACUCUUGGCCCACAUGUUGCUGCUUGAACCUCAGGGCCAUUCAGUGGGCCAGUCACACCUCCUGUCUCUAGGGCACCACCCUCCUCUGUGCUCCCGGGCACUCCCCAAUCCUCCCCAGCCUCCCUUGCUAGGUUCUUCUUUCAUCACUAAUGUUAGUAUUGAAGAAGACCGGGGCUCACUCCUUGACCUUAUUCUCUUUUCUAUCUACACUAUCUCAUCUCUUACUGCUGGUUAAUCUCAUCAAGUCCAUAGAUUUAGAUGCCGUCUAUAUAUUCACAAUAGUCAAGUUGGUAUUUCCUGCCUAAAUUCUUCAUCCAAACUUGAGACUUCACCUGCUUGACACUUCCACUUGGAUAUCUAGUAGACAUCUCAAAACGAACAGGUCGAGGCGUUUCCUUUAUAGCUCAGUGGUAACAAACCUGACCAGGAUCCAUGCAGACAGGGUUUCCAUGAUCUCUGGCCUCGUUCAGUGGGUUAAGGAUCCAGCAUUGCCAUGAGCUGUGGUGAAGGUCCCAGACGCAGCUCAGAUCUGGUGUGGCUGUGGCUGUGGUGUAGGCUGGCAGCUACAGCUCCGAUUAGACCCCUAGCCUGGGAACUUCCAUAUACCACAAGUGCAACCCUAAAAAAACAAAAUAAAAUAAACAAACAAAAAAACCUAACAGGUCAAAAACAAGACUGUCGAUUUUCUCUCUCACAAAUCUGAUCUAAUAUUCUUCUCUAUUUUAGGGGAAGGAAAUUGUAUCCUUCCUGAUUCCCUGGCUUUAAGACCCACAUGCUGCUGAAAUCUUGGAACUCUUCACCUUUGACAUUUUUGGCAGUCUGUUUGGCCUAGAAUGAUAUCAUUUUAUUUUAACUUUAUUUUUCUGACUACUUAUGAUUUUGAGCCCAUGUAUGAGCUGUCUUUGGUUCUCAUAUGUGUAUUGCCUAAUCAUUUCCUUAGCCCAUUUAUUUGUCUCUUGGGGUAUUCCUAUUUUUGUCCUGUACCAUUUUGUGUUAUGAUGUAGAGCUCAGCGCCUGAUCUCAGGGUGCACUAUUUUAAGUUUCUAAAGGACAAGAUUGUGGAAUUUACUAUGAAAACCAACAUUAAUUAUUUGGGGGAACAGAAAGGCAUCUUCAUUGUUUCCACUUACAUUAAAUCUUUAGUGGCCCAACUUCCCAAUUAUCCAAGACCAUCUGAGCCGUGUGCCAAAGGAGGUGCCUAUUUCCCACUUCUUAGCAUUUUUCUUAGAAUGUGAGUCAAGCAGACGGCUUUCAGACGUCCUGCUGACUGGGAUUCUGGCUCGUUCUCAUGUCCCAUUUCCUGCUCUUCUCCUGUUCUGAUUUCUAAGCAGGUGUCAACCCCAAAUCAGAAUAAUUAUAUGGAUCACAGAACUAAUGUCCUCAAUUCUGCUUUGUGACACUUGAAAUGGAAUAUUCUCGACUAAUAGUUUGAUGAGAAAAACAUCUGUUGGGUUUACAUUCCUACUGAUGCUGAAUGACUUGAAAACUUCUCUUGCAGCUUGUUGUCUGGAUUCUUAGGGGAUUAUCUUGGGAAUCACCUUCUAGCAUAGAUCCUUGCGCUCCACCUGGUAUAUGCUCAGAGGCAGUGUUUGCUGUCUCUCAACACAUAGUAUCUAAAUGCUGCCAAACCUCAGGACUCAAGAAAACAUCUGGAGGGCUUGGUGGGUUCUUAAGCAGUCAAUCAGAUGAGUUAAGGUAUUACAUUGAGAUGGCCCCAGUGAUUGAGUGCUGACUUAUUCGCAGGUGCAGGGGUGGAGUGGUGUAGAAAAACUAAAAUUAAGAAGAAGCUUGAUGGAGGAUAGUGUGAGAAAAAGAAUGGGUACAUGUAUGUGUGUGACUGGGUCACUUUGCUGUAUAGUAGAAAUUGACAGAACACUGUUAACUAACUAUAAUGGAAAAAA
This 5521-nucleotide long non-coding RNA is filed under the name Sus scrofa (pig). RNAcentral describes it as "lncRNA (ENSSSCG00035051371.1)". The record is from RNAcentral. Lineage: Eukaryota; Metazoa; Chordata; Mammalia; Artiodactyla; Suidae.